GACGAACGCUGGCGGCGUGCUUAACACAUGCAAGUCGAACGGAAAGGCCCCUUUGGGGGUACUCGAGUGGCGAACGGGUGAGUAACACGUGAGUAACCUGCCCUUGACUUCGGGAUAACUUCAGGAAACUGGGGCUAAUACCGGAUAGGAAUCCUUGCUGCAUGGUGGGGGUUGGAAAGCUUCGGCGGUUUUGGAUGGACUCGCGGCUUAUCAGCUUGUUGGUGGGGUAGUGGCUUACCAAGGCUUUGACGGGUAGCCGGCCUGAGAGGGCGACCGGCCACAUUGGGACUGAGAUACGGCCCAGACUCCUACGGGAGGCAGCAGUGGGGAAUAUUGCACAAUGGGCGGAAGCCUGAUGCAGCAACGCCGCGUGCGGGAUGACGGCCUUCGGGUUGUAAACCGCUUUCAGCAGGGGCGAAGCUUGUGGUGACGGUACCUGCAGAAGAAGCACCGGCUAACUACG
RNAcentral lists this ribosomal RNA (463 nucleotides) under uncultured bacterium. RNAcentral describes it as "partial 16S ribosomal RNA". It matches the Rfam family "Bacterial small subunit ribosomal RNA", at positions 28 to 505 of the family's 1533-position model. The record is from RNAcentral.